UUCAGGUGCGCGUACACGCUUAAAAGAGAAAUAGGUGCAAAACCUAUGCUGUCCCGCAGCUGUAAGGUGGAGCAGGCUUCAAAGAUGUCGCUGGGGAACCGGGAAGACAAAGCCUGCGAAGAAGCCGAGCCAGAAGAACUGCCUGAAG
RNAcentral lists this non-coding RNA (148 nucleotides) under uncultured Phascolarctobacterium sp. The record is from RNAcentral. Lineage: Bacteria; Bacillati; Bacillota; Negativicutes; Acidaminococcales; Acidaminococcaceae.